This 76-nucleotide small RNA is filed under the name Escherichia coli. RNAcentral describes it as "partial RtT sRNA". It matches the Rfam family "RtT RNA", at positions 56 to 130 of the family's 130-position model. Rfam says of the family: This family represents a bacterial cis-regulatory element known as RtT RNA. The exact function of RtT is unknown although it is thought that it may be involved in changing the cellular response in relation to amino acid starvation. The record is from RNAcentral. Lineage: Bacteria; Pseudomonadati; Pseudomonadota; Gammaproteobacteria; Enterobacterales; Enterobacteriaceae.
AGCGAGAGAGCGUUGCCGCAGGCAACGACCCGUAGGGCGAAGCGCGCAGCGCUGAGUAAUCCUUCCCCCACCACCA